CUAUAUUGUACCAGAAGUUAGUCAAUAUUCAUGUGAAGUAGGCCAUAGUAAGUUAAGAUACCUAUGAUAAGUAGAGACACCACUUAGAAAAAUAGCUAAAAAAAAAAAAAGGUUAAAAAAACUAAAAUGGUACCCUCAUAAAUAUCUGUUUAAUGCAGAAGAAGGCAAUAAAAGAGCAAUUCAAUAACGAAAGAUACACAGUAACCAAAUAGCAAAAUGGAAAAUGCAAACCUAACAAAAUUGUAGUAAAUUUUAAUGCACCUAAAAACUCCAAUCAAAGCUUCUCUGAUAAAAAAAAAAGCAACAUCCAGCACUAUACUGUCUUCCAGAGACUCACUUCAAAUUAAAAGAUACAAAUAGGUUAAAAGGAAAAAAAACAGAAAGACACGCCAUGCAAACAGUAAUCAUAAGACAGCUGCAGUGGCUGUAGUAAUUAUAGACACAAUGGACUUUUAAAACAAGAAAUAUAGUAGAUACAAAGAGGGAUAUUUUAAAAUAAUAAAGGA
RNAcentral lists this long non-coding RNA (506 nucleotides) under Pan troglodytes (chimpanzee). Its description in RNAcentral is "long non-coding RNA NONPTRT005343". The record is from RNAcentral. Lineage: Eukaryota; Metazoa; Chordata; Mammalia; Primates; Hominidae.